This 253-nucleotide ribosomal RNA is filed under the name uncultured bacterium. RNAcentral's name for it is "partial 16S ribosomal RNA". It matches the Rfam family "Bacterial small subunit ribosomal RNA", at positions 524 to 776 of the family's 1533-position model. The record is from RNAcentral.
CACGUAGGAGGCGAGCGUUGUCCGGAAUCAUUGGGCGUAAAGAGCGCGCAGGCGGCUCGGUAAGUCGGUUGUGAAAUCCCGGGGCUCAACCCCGGGACUGCGUCCGAUACUAUCGAGCUAGAGGUAGGUAGGGGAGAUCGGAAUUCCUGGUGUAGCGGUGAAAUGCGCAGAUAUCAGGAGGAACACCGGUGGCGAAGGCGGAUCUCUGGGCCUUACCUGACGCUCAGGCGCGAAAGCUAGGGGAGCGAACAGG